CCUACUGUCCUAACCCUAGUCUUAGCUCCAUCGUACAUGUCCUUGAUUACUCUGAUGUAGGCUUCCGGCACACUCUUCGCCUCCAAGCACCUCCAUAGUACCUCCCUUGGGACCUUGUCAUACGCCUUCUCCAAGUCGAUAAACACCAUGUGCAGGUCCUUCUUCUUAUCCCCUGAGUUGCCACCCACCGUCCUAACUCUAGACUUAGCUCCAUCGUACAUGUCCUUGAUUACUCUAAUGUAGGCUUCCGGCACGCUCUUCACCUCCAAGCACCUCCAUAGAACCUCCCUUUGGACCUUGUCAUACGCCUUCUCCAAGUCGAUAAGCAGUAUGUGCAGGUCCUUCUUCUUGUCCCUGAACUGCUCCACCGGCCUCCUGACAAGG
This 384-nucleotide long non-coding RNA is filed under the name Nicotiana benthamiana. RNAcentral describes it as "long non-coding RNA (NBEN_LNC012331)". Lineage: Eukaryota; Viridiplantae; Streptophyta; Magnoliopsida; Solanales; Solanaceae. The record is from RNAcentral.